Molecule: long non-coding RNA, 1071 nt
Organism: Trichoplusia ni (cabbage looper)
Lineage: Eukaryota; Metazoa; Arthropoda; Insecta; Lepidoptera; Noctuidae
Exons: 3
Source: RefSeq, a predicted model, not a curated record
UGUUAUUCGACGAACAUGAUAUCCUAAAACGGAAUUCAAUAUUCGCGGAUACCAUAAUGAAUAUUAAAGGUGUAUAAUUAAACGAGUCCGAUGUAUCUUAAUGAGUUUACAUAAAGUUUGACAAAGAACAAAAUAAUUUAAUGCAGAUCAGCUGACAGUUAUCGGAUGGAUAAAAGGAUUCGGUUUAAUAAAGGAAUGUCAGAGUUGUUAGUGUGUUUGUAACACGAUUGCACAGUGUGUUGUGCUCUGUGGGAGUAGAAGACGCGAGCGCUGACAACAGGCUGAACAGAACGCGUUUGUGCGUCGUCGAGCUCGCUGCUACGGCGCCCCGGCUUUUUACUCGUGCGCCAAAACCCUUAUACAAUUUUGACUCCGACGUAUAGUUGCGCGUCGUUUGAACCUCAAAGCAAAUCAGUGGUGUGGAUACAAAAACGUUACAAAAAUGACGACCGCCAGUAUGCUGUUGACAGUUGCGACAACGUGGAAUGUCUCCACUGACAAGAUUGAUAAGGAGGGUUGCUUAGGCCUCGCUAUCAAACACGUCACCGCCGAAGCCGCCAAGGAACUCCGCGAAAGUCCAUCGACCAAGGAACAAGCGCUCACCAUCAUGCGGGAAUGGAUACAACAGAAUAUCGACAUCAAAAAUGUCCGCCAAGGUAAAUUCUCCACAUUUUAUUUAGGCAUAGUGAGAAAAUACUUGUUGGAUGGUAUACCUACAAACGAUGCAGAUGCUAACAAAACUGACUCAAAAAUCUUAAGAUAAACAUGACACAGCGUAAUAUCAAGCUUCUGUUUCUUUUUCAUACAAGUUAUGUUUAGUGCAAAAAACCCAAACACAAAAGCAUCAAGCCACCUAAAAAAAGAGUGACACUCUGCCCUUUGUAAAAUAUUUUAUACCUUUUUCUUCGCAUGCUAUAUGGUAGACUUAACGGAUUUAGCAGAAUGCCGUUGCCUAUAGUAUGAUUGCAUAGAUCACUUACAGAUCUUAAUUUUAAAUGACUGAAAAUAAAUACACAAAAAAGUACAUCAUUAUGUAUAGCGACUAUUUAUGCAACUUCCAUAUAACAUUUA